GACGAACGCUGGCGGCGUGCCUAAUACAUGCAAGUUGAGCGCUGAAGGUUGGUACUUGUACCAACUGGAUGAGCAGCGAACGGGUGAGUAACGCGUGGGGAAUCUGCCUUUGAGCGGGGGACAACAUUUGGAAACGAAUGCUAAUACCGCAUAAAAACUUUAAACACAAGUUUUAAGUUUGAAAGAUGCAAUUGCAUCACUCAAAGAUGAUCCCGCGUUGUAUUAGCUAGUUGGUGAGGUAAAGGCUCACCAAGGCGAUGAUACAUAGCCGACCUGAGAGGGUGAGCGGCCACAGUGGGACUGAGACACGGCCCAAACUCCUACGGGAGGCAGCAGUAGGGAAUCUUCGGCAAUGGACGAAAGUCUGACCGAGCAACGCCGCGUGAGUGAAGAAGGUUUUCGGAUCGUAAAACUCUGUUGGUAGAGAAGAACGUUGGUGAGAGUGGAAAGCUCAUCAAGUGACGGUAACUACCCAGAAAGGGACGGCUAACUAC
Molecule: ribosomal RNA, 494 nt
Filed under: uncultured bacterium
Lineage: Bacteria
Description: partial 16S ribosomal RNA
Rfam family: Bacterial small subunit ribosomal RNA
Source: RNAcentral